CGCGGGGUGGAGCAGCCCGUAGCUCGUCAGGCUCAUAACCUGAAGGCCGCAGGUUCAAAUCCUGCCCCCGCAACCA
Molecule: transfer RNA, 76 nt
Filed under: Sinorhizobium meliloti CCBAU 01290
Lineage: Bacteria; Pseudomonadati; Pseudomonadota; Alphaproteobacteria; Hyphomicrobiales; Rhizobiaceae
Description: tRNA-Met
Rfam family: tRNA
About the family: Transfer RNA (tRNA) molecules are approximately 80 nucleotides in length.
Source: RNAcentral